CAUUGUGGUUUCUUCACUAAACUUGACAGUACUAUACUGUAAUUGUAACCCAUGGACUGCCGUGUCUAGUUAACUCUUUUAAGUACAUGUAUCAAUCAAGUAUUAGUACUGUACAAUAUUAGGGAUGCACCAAUUAAUUGAUAAAUUACAAAUAUCCAUAUUUUGUGGAAUAAUCUGUACAGGUAUUGGUAAACAAAGUAUUAGCUGAUGCCAUUUUGCAGUCUAUUUUGGGUUGAGAAAUUAAUUGGUAACAUUUUUAUUACCAGCAAAAUACAGUAAUUACGGAAACCAGUUAGUCUGUUCACUUAUUAUGGUAAUGUCACUCUCGGAUGCUGAUCAUUGUCUUGUAGUUGUGAUGGAUAACAUGGCAGUGUCUGUGCAGGUCUUUGUACAACACUUCAUUAUACAGUACCGGUAAUAAAUAUAUUAUGCCAGACAAAGUAGCUCUUAUUUAUUCUGAAGAGAAAAUAAUCCGGUAAAGACUGUCGCUGACGAGGAAGCCUUGUUAAAGCACAUUACUUAUUUUAUUUACCAAUAUACUAUACUACAGUAGACUUAAAUCCUGCAAAAAUUAUGAAAUAUAAAACCCAGCUGUUCUUAAUAUUGCAGCUUCAAGAUUUCUGUAAUACUAUUACCCACUAAAGUUGAUGUAUUUGUGGACGGGUUUCUUUACCACCAGAGGAAAUUGUUUCAUUUAAAUACUGUACUGUAUUUGGCCGAUACUUUGUUUAUAGUCUGGCUUUGGUGGCGAGACUAUAUAGUGACUUAACUGCUUUACCUGCUUGAUAAAAUAGACCUAAAUUAUAGCAUUAACUCUAAAUCUGGCGGCAGAUUGGGAGUUUUGAAUCUGGUUAUUAACGGUGCAUCACUAAUGUAUUUGAUUGUUCUUCAAUUACUGUACUAGAUUAAGUGGUUUAAUGUGGUACUUCCAUAGAGGAUAAAACCGUCAGUUUAGGGUCAUGUUAUACAAUACUGUAUUAGGAUAAAUUAGUAUUGUGAAAAUAUUUUACUUGAAACCUUUUAUAGGUAAUAACUUGACUUUACUUCCAGUAGGUUCUGGACCUUGGCAAGGAGAGGUGUGCACUCUGCUGUACCACACAUCUUGCCUCACUUGUACUGCUGUACUAGGCUUCUCUCCUCCAAUAUCAGGAUGGCUAGUGAUUCACAACACAACUAAAGGAAGCCGAUGCAAAGAUACAGCCCAGAACCAUCCUUUCACUCCUCCUCUCUACCUCAGAAAUGUUGUUCUGAACACUGGAGUGCCGUGCUGCCCUAGACUGUGCUUACUGGCUACUGCCUUGGACUUCCCUAUACGACUUUGCUCUGUGCUUGCUGCCCUGGACGGCUCUGCUCUGUGCUUGCUGCCCUGGACGGCUCUGCUCUGUACUUGCUGCUCCCCUGGACGGCUCUGCUCUGUGCUUGCUGCUCCCCUGGAUGGCUCUGCUCUGUGCUUGCUGCUCCCCUGGACGGCUCUGCUCUGUACAUGCUGCUACCGUGGACGGUUCUGCUCUGUGUGUGCAGCUGCCCUGGACGGCUCUGCUCUGCGUGUGCUGCUCCCCUGGACUGCAAAUUUAUAGAGCCAUUAAGUUUCCAUUAAUAAAUGUCUAAAUGUCA
Long non-coding RNA from Homarus americanus (American lobster), 1614 nucleotides. RefSeq lists it as uncharacterized. The transcript has 2 exons. Lineage: Eukaryota; Metazoa; Arthropoda; Malacostraca; Decapoda; Nephropidae. The record is from RefSeq and is a predicted model, not a curated record.